GGGAAUCUGCCCUUGGGUUCGGAAUAACAGUUAGAAAUGACUGCUAAUACCGAAUGAUGACUCCGGUCCAAAGAUUUAUCGCCCAGGGAUGAGCCCGCGUCGGAUUAGCUAGUUGGUGAGGUAAAGGCUCACCAAGGCGACGAUCCGUAGCUGGUCUGAGAGGAUGAUCAGCCACACUGGGACUGAGACACGGCCCAGACUCCUACGGGAGGCAGCAGUGGGGAAUAUUGGACAAUGGGCGAAAGCCUGAUCCAGCAAUGCCGCGUGAGUGAUGAAGGCCUUAGGGUUGUAAAGCUCUUUUACCCGGGAUGAUAAUGACAGUACCGGGAGAAUAAGCCCCGGCUAACUCCGUGCCAGCAGCCGCGGUAAUACGGAGGGGGCUAGCGUUGUUCGGAAUUACUGGGCGUAAAGCGCGCGUAGGCGGCUUUGCAAGUCAGAGGUGAAAGCCUGGAGCUCAACUCCAGAACUGCCUUUGAAACUGCAUCGCUUGAAUCAUGGAGAGGUUAGUGGAAUUCCGAGU
Molecule: ribosomal RNA, 520 nt
Filed under: uncultured bacterium
Lineage: Bacteria
Description: bacterial SSU rRNA
Rfam family: Bacterial small subunit ribosomal RNA
Source: RNAcentral